Pantherophis guttatus is the source of this 1252-nucleotide long non-coding RNA. RefSeq lists it as uncharacterized. The record is from RefSeq and is a predicted model, not a curated record. NCBI's taxonomy places the organism in Eukaryota, Metazoa, Chordata, Lepidosauria, Squamata, Colubridae.
GAGGGAAAAGGCCAGCCGGCUUUCGGGGCGCUCCUCUCCUCUGUUCCCCGAGCCGCCCGGCAGCCAACAGGCGUCUUCACUGCCUCUUGAACUCGGGACACAACCUUCCUGCCGGUGCCCUCCCCGCCUGCUGGGUGGUCCGUAAUUAAUCCCCCGCCACAGGCGGUACGGGAUUUACACGUCCUCGCCCAGCAGGCCUCCCCGCCUAAUCCCCGGUUCUUGUUACUCGCCUCGGGGGGCCGCCAGCACCUCCGAGAGCCCCUCGCCUCUCCGCCCGCCCCCCCUGCCCUCCCCGCGCUUUUCCUGUCCGAUUCAGUGAUGAAGAGGUAGAUGCAAUGAAUACGGCAGAAUCAGACGCCUCCCACCCACCCCCGCCUUUCUGCAGCGACCGUAGCCUUUUCCCAAUGCUUUCAUCCGCGCCUUCCCCGAGCGGGUGCGCGGCCUUCCCGGGCUGGUCUUGGAGCUAGGGCGACAGACGGAGAAGCCUCGCUCGUUUGGAGAGGCGAAACGAAGAUGACGGGUGUAAAAAAAAAAAAAAAAAAAAAGUGAAGAAAUAAAAGCGUAAAAGGAGGGAGCAGCCCCGAAGAGAAGCUGCCAGAUAACCGAGAAGCCUCCCUUCCUGCUCCCCGCUUUGCAUGACAAAAGCCCAGCUGCAGAGAUGGCACCGUCCCUCCUUUCCCUCCCUCUCCACCACCCCCCGCCAAAUUCCCUUCCCCAAUUACCAAUCAAGCCCAUUAUGUGGCAACAAUAGCCGCCAACUCUGGCGGCCCACCCAAGCGGCUAACCUACAGUCCACAGCGUGUGCAAUUUUGGCAGAGGACUCAGGUCUCCCAUCCCGUCAAAAUCCUUAUGUUGGGGCAUCAACGGGGCAAAUGUACCAAUACAGCUGUGACCAUGUGAGUAAAGUAAAAGGGGAGGGUCGGCAGCAUGAAUUAGGAUAUGUACACCCAUAUACACUUUGUGGAAGGUGGGUCAGGAUGAACAGAGUGCAAGAGCUUCUUCCAGGUAGCAAGGACAAAAAUCAGACCACCGUCAGCAAAACCAUCAUCCUUCCAGGUUUCAGUCUUCCCAUGGACUCAUGUCGGUAUCAAUGGCCACACAAUUAUAAGCUGCAUAACGCAAUUUUUCUUCACAAACUUUGGCACUAGAAAUAAAAAAAAAAAAAGGUUAACAUUUCCAGGUAUUCUGAAAAUCCCCAAUACAUCUCUGGUUUACCAAUCUAUCGUUGUUCAAUUAAAGUUUUACUUCACUA